This 73-nucleotide transfer RNA is filed under the name Cyanomargarita calcarea. RNAcentral's name for it is "tRNA-Lys". It matches the Rfam family "tRNA". From Rfam's summary of the family: Transfer RNA (tRNA) molecules are approximately 80 nucleotides in length. Their secondary structure includes four short double-helical elements and three loops (D, anti-codon, and T loops). Lineage: Bacteria; Bacillati; Cyanobacteriota; Cyanophyceae; Nostocales; Cyanomargaritaceae. RNAcentral also lists the same sequence under 1 other name. The record is from RNAcentral.
GGGAGUAUAGCUCAGUUGAUAGAGCAACGCCCUUUUAAGGCGAUGGUCGCAGGUUUGAACCCUGCUGCUCCCA